This 274-nucleotide ribosomal RNA is filed under the name uncultured bacterium. Its description in RNAcentral is "partial 16S ribosomal RNA". It matches the Rfam family "Bacterial small subunit ribosomal RNA", at positions 523 to 796 of the family's 1533-position model. The record is from RNAcentral.
AUACGGAGGGUCCAAGCGUUAUCCGGAAUCAUUGGGUUUAAAGGGUCCGCAGGCGGUCAAUUAAGUCAGAGGUGAAAGCCCAUCGCUCAACGAUGGAACUGCCUUUGAUACUGGUUGACUUGAGUUAUACGGAAGUAGAUAGAAUAAGUAGUGUAGCGGUGAAAUGCAUAGAUAUUACUUAGAAUACCGAUUGCGAAGGCAGUCUACUACGUAUAUACUGACGCUGAGGGACGAAAGCGUGGGGAGCGAACAGCAUUAGAUACCCUAGUAGUCC